UCUUCUUUAUCAGAGUGGUCUAACGCGUGUGACUCGAAAUCACAUCUCUUCGGAGGCGCCCGUUCGAAUCGGGCCAGUGUCG
Molecule: non-coding RNA, 82 nt
Organism: Daldinia sp. FL1419
Lineage: Eukaryota; Fungi; Ascomycota; Sordariomycetes; Xylariales; Hypoxylaceae
Source: the annotation of a GenBank genome assembly